AAGCCCCGCGCAGCCGCCGGCGAACACUGUCAUCGCCAGCACGCCUCCGGCACGGCAAACCACACCAAGACGAACUGGCUCAUGAUACCAAAUGUUGGGGCUGCCCUCCGGCGACACACGCCGAGGCAGCCCUCCGGCGACAAAACGCCCGACGGAGGUAGAAGAAGAUGAACAGAAACACUUGGUUAUGGCGACGAACGCCCCGGCCGCCGAACGGCCUGUAUGUUGGCUUCUAUUCCACUCAACUGAUUACACACACCUCGGUGGACACACCAUACACGUACAUGGCUAUAUAUAGCCUCACACACGCACGCACACAGCCACGCAACAACCUGUCCGGCUCUUAUGCACACGACCUGCUCCACUACAUGCACUCACGCACUAAUAGCUGACUUGAUCACCCAUGAUCCACAUGACCCGGACCUGCCUCUCCGCACGAACGGAACUGCAGCUGUCCAUGCAUGCAUGAUGAACUGAUCUCUUUUGCUGCCGCUUCUUCAGCUAUGACCAUACACGGCAAGACCUGGCCAGCAUCGGACGCUCGGACAUCCACUACAGCUAACUACGUGCAUGACCCAUACAAUGCGUGGUUUAUUGCUAACAGCAGGCACCUUGCCUGAUGGCGCAAGAGGGAGGAGAGGAUGAAAA
This 648-nucleotide long non-coding RNA is filed under the name Hordeum vulgare. RNAcentral's name for it is "long non-coding RNA (HVUL_LNC012429)". Lineage: Eukaryota; Viridiplantae; Streptophyta; Magnoliopsida; Poales; Poaceae. The record is from RNAcentral.